CAUGACUGGAAAAAUGGCUAGAACCUCUACUAUGGCCAUGGGUGAGAUCUAGCGCCUAAAGCCAGCGGGGCCUCAGCUCACCGCCUGCCUUCAGUGCGCUCAGGUGAAACCCAGGCCCCAACACGC
This is a non-coding RNA of Erinaceus europaeus (western European hedgehog), 126 nucleotides long. The record is from Rfam. NCBI's taxonomy places the organism in Eukaryota, Metazoa, Chordata, Mammalia, Eulipotyphla, Erinaceidae.